CAGUACUCUCAGAGUGUGGAGCUGGCAGUGCCUCAAUGGUACUCUGGAUUUUCUUCUAGAAUGCCUCAACGGCACUCAACGGCAUUCUGAAUUUUUUUCUUGAAUGCAGAGCGGUGAAUGCUUCAACGGUACUCUGGAUUAAAAAAGCUGAACAUAAAAAAGCUGAGCAGACAGUGCCUCAACUAUACUUAAAUUAUAGCCAUGAGAUGGGAGGAAAUCGACUACAUGGAUGAAAUGCCCUUUUAAUUUUUCCAUGUUACCGUUUGAAAUAGCACCAUUCACCUCUUCUAUUUAUAGACAAUUCAUUUGAAAAUCAGUGGCAGAUUGUUCCCCAUUCUACUGUUUUUUGUUUGCAUGUGAUUGUCAUAUUUCUGGGUUUUAUUCAUAUUGUUCCCUAUUCUAUUUGUUUUUUUUUUCCUUGUGAUCCGCUUAUGUUUUUAUUCAGUUUUUGUGUUUGGAUUUUUUCCUUUUUCAAUUUUCAUGGUAUUCUGUGGAUGGUAAAUUUUGAAUGGGGCACUGAGGAAGGCAGAGCUAUACCUCCAUUAUAUUUGUAGUUGCACCUCCUCUAAUAUGCAAGGAGGUAUUCAAUAACGGGACCUAUUCCGCCAGAGCUUGGGAGGUGGUUGCAGAGUCCUUUAUAGCAUAUGGAGAUUGGCUAUAAUUCUUAAUCGGGCGGGAUUCCGCCAGAGCUCGAGUACUUGGACAUUGCUGGUGCUAAUCUUUCUGGCGUACUGCCACAAGGACAUGGAUGCUUUAUUUUAAUUAAUAGCAGUUCCAUUGCUGUUC
Cryptomeria japonica (Japanese cedar) is the source of this 786-nucleotide long non-coding RNA. RefSeq lists it as uncharacterized. Lineage: Eukaryota; Viridiplantae; Streptophyta; Pinopsida; Cupressales; Cupressaceae. The transcript is spliced from 2 exons. The record is from RefSeq and is a predicted model, not a curated record.